AUUAAUUUUAAUCUUACAUUGUUUAGUCAUCUGUUUUGGUAGAAGCAACAUCAUAGCUCAUCCUAUCCUUCCCCAACCCCCAUGCAAGUUGGGUUAGUUUUUCCUUAAAAAGUAUUGAGACCAUCCUUUCAAUUUGUUCAUCUCAGGGGGCUAAAGACUGAGACUAUUGAUGCUGCUCCUCAUCACCUGAAGAACUACAGAACUUUGAUGCUUGACUGGUACAUCAUGAUGGCAAACGUAGUCAAGAGAACUUCACUUAAAGAAACUCAAGGUACUAUGCUAAGAGCUGGGACUACAAAUGCUGGAAAAGAAACUUCCUGCCCCAAAAGAACUAACAAUCUAAUGGGAGAAGACAAUACACAAAAGGAAGCCAAAUACCCAGAGCAGGAGCAUGAUGGAGAAGGCCAAAGGAAUGUAGCUGGAUGGAAAAUAAAGAGAUGGCUGACCUAAACACCCUCCUUAAAUGGAGGACUUUCCUUCAUGAUUUAUGGCUACUAGUUUAACACUAUUCUUUUGUUAUCCCUCCCACUUGUUACUCAUCUGUUUUUCUGGUCAUACCUGUCCUUAUUAAUGCCUUCUUUACUGCUUCUUGGUGUAAUUAGAGAAAAGGAAAAUAGAUCCUUUGAAAUAAGGUUUAAAAAAAAAAACAGUUCAUUAAGCAGAGAGAUGAGAAUUGGGACAUUUUUUUAAAAUUUCAAGGAUUAUAAAGCAUUUCUAAGAGUACUGUUGAUCAAGCAAGUAGGAAAUAAGCAUUUAUUAGGUUCUUACUAUGUGCAGCUAGGCGGUCCAGUAGAAAGAG
RNAcentral lists this long non-coding RNA (799 nucleotides) under Monodelphis domestica (gray short-tailed opossum). RNAcentral's name for it is "lncRNA (ENSMODG00000043493.1)". The record is from RNAcentral. Lineage: Eukaryota; Metazoa; Chordata; Mammalia; Didelphimorphia; Didelphidae.